CCUGGCGUCACUAGCGCGGUGGUCCCACCUGACCCCAUGCCGAACUCAGAAGUGAAACGCCGUAGCGCCGAUGGUAGUGUGGGGUCUCCCCAUGUGAGAGUAGGGAACUGCCAGGC
RNAcentral lists this ribosomal RNA (116 nucleotides) under Klebsiella pneumoniae. The record is from RNAcentral. Lineage: Bacteria; Pseudomonadati; Pseudomonadota; Gammaproteobacteria; Enterobacterales; Enterobacteriaceae.